UUCAAGCUGGCCAUUUAUUUAUUGACUAAGACUAAAAACUUUUAAGUAGCCUAUAUUGUAAAUAUUUAUCUUUUUUAUUUCUUUACUUUUUUACAAGAAAAUAGAUGACUCGAGUGUUACAAACAAUAGUUUUCAAGGAAUAAUGUGAAAUAAGUUAAUUUUUAUAGGAUAAAAAACUUAAUCAACAUGAUAACUUCAUAACAUUAGUCCUACCAGACACUAACUUCGAUGAUCCUGGAGCAAAGGCUGUAAUUUGACCUGAACCCAAAUUGGUCUUUAUUUUAAAUAUUGUAAGUUAAGAGGACUGACCUUUCUGGACGACAUUGCAAUCGACAUCACUGCAGAUGAGAGAGAGACCAGAGUUGUGUACUCUGGAGGCAAUUGCCAUACUGCUGUGAUAAUGUUCCUUGGUCUAACCAUAACUUAAGUGAGAGCUGUAGCCUACCAGUAGAAUGGGGGCGUUGUAAUUAAUAUCCUCCGACAUUGGAGGGUACAGGGGAGAGGUGCCAGAGGAAGAGGAGAUGGAGGAUGGGGCGAAGUAAAGACGAAGAUUGAAGAGAGCUAACUUAUGGCCUGAUGACAGGGUAGAAGGCGAUGGAGGCAUGGUGGUUGGGGGAGAGGAGGCUGAAGAAGUGGAGACAAAUCAGUUUAGAUUCAUUAUGUUGAUUAGUUUAAUAUUUAUUUGGAAUAUCAGUAUACUUUUA
Macrosteles quadrilineatus (aster leafhopper) is the source of this 704-nucleotide long non-coding RNA. RefSeq lists it as uncharacterized. Lineage: Eukaryota; Metazoa; Arthropoda; Insecta; Hemiptera; Cicadellidae. The transcript has 4 exons. The record is from RefSeq and is a predicted model, not a curated record.